AAAGUCGUAACAAGGUUUCCGUAGGUGAACCUGCGGAAGGAUCAUUAAAGAGUUUAGAGACUUCGGUCUACUAUUCCACCCUUUGUUUACAAUACCAUUGUUGCUUUGGCAGGCCCGUCGCAAGACAACCGGCUUUGGCUGGUCAGUGUCUGCCAGAGGACCUAAAACUCAUGUUUAUAUUAUUGUCUGAGUACUAUAUAAUAGUUAAAACUUUCAACAACGGAUCUCUUGGUUCUGGCAUCGAUGAAGAACGCAGCGAAAUGCGAUAAGUAAUGUGAAUUGCAGAAUUCAGUGAAUCAUCGAAUCUUUGAACGCACAUUGCGCCCUCUGGUAUUCCGGGGGGCAUGCCUGUUCGAGCGUCAUUACAACCCUCAAGCUCUGCUUGGUAUUAGGCUUCACCCUUAGGGGCGGGCUUUAAAAUCAGUGGCGGUGCCAUUCGGCUUCAAGCGUAGUAAUUUUCUCGCUUUGGAGGACCGGCUGUGUGCUUGCCAACAACCCCAAUUUUUUAAAGGUUGACCUCGGAUCAGGUAGGGAUACCCGCUGAACUUAAGCAUAUCAAUAAGCGGAGGAAAAGAAACCAAC
RNAcentral lists this ribosomal RNA (582 nucleotides) under Flagellospora leucorhynchos. RNAcentral's name for it is "eukaryotic LSU rRNA". The stretch from base 209 to 362 matches the Rfam family "5.8S ribosomal RNA". Lineage: Eukaryota; Fungi; Ascomycota; Leotiomycetes; Leotiales; Leotiaceae. The record is from RNAcentral.